UGAGGAAUAUUGGUCAAUGGACGAAAGCCUGAACCAGCCAUGCCGCGUGCAGGAUGACGGCUCUAUGAGUUGUAAACUGCUUUUGUAUGAGGGUAAAGUUGGGUACGUGUACCCAUUUGAAAGUAUCAUACGAAUAAGGAUCGGCUAACUCCGUGCCAGCAGCCGCGGUAAUACGAAGGGGGCUAGCGUUGUUCGGAUUUACAUGGGCGUAAAGCGCAUGUAGGCGGCGCGCUAAGUCAGAGGUGAAAGCCUGGAGCUCAACUCCAGAACUGCCUUUGAUACUGGCGGGCUCGAGUAUGGAAGAGGUUGGUGGAACUGCGAGUGUAGAGGUGAAAUUCGUAGAUAUUCGCAAGAACACCAGUGGCGAAGGCGGCCAACUGGUCCAUUACUGACGCUGAGGUGCGAAAGCGUGGGGAGCAAACA
RNAcentral lists this ribosomal RNA (423 nucleotides) under uncultured bacterium. RNAcentral's name for it is "bacterial SSU rRNA". It matches the Rfam family "Bacterial small subunit ribosomal RNA", at positions 355 to 774 of the family's 1533-position model. The record is from RNAcentral.